Molecule: long non-coding RNA, 1435 nt
Organism: Herpailurus yagouaroundi (jaguarundi)
Lineage: Eukaryota; Metazoa; Chordata; Mammalia; Carnivora; Felidae
Exons: 9
Source: RefSeq, a predicted model, not a curated record
AAAAUCGAGCUGGGGGGUUCCCUGGUCCCUGGCGACGGGGCGGGGAGCGCCGCGCCAGGGGAGGGGGCGGGCGCGGUAGCGCGGGCCCCGCCGAGGGGGGAACACCUGGCUGAGGCACGGCUGCCGCCGCACCGCUCCGCGCGAACCCAGGGCUCCGGUCCCCGCGCGGGCUCGAGAGUUCGCCCCGACCGGGGGUCUUCCUCCUCCGCCGUUGACAGGCUGCACCCUUAUUUGUUUUCCUCGAACAGUAAAAUAAUGCCGAUCGACUGACAAGUCAUCUAUGGACCCUCGGGCCCACAGUCCCCACAGUUCCUCCACGUCCGCGGCUGAGCAAAGAAGCUGCACGCACGCGCAAGAAACGAGGUCGGAGGAGAGACUGAGGAAGCAAAGUGCGAGCGGCGAACAGCGACGAUUCUGCGCAUGUACAAGGCGCGGAGGUUGGGGUAGGAGUUUGCGCAUGAGCAGAAGUGUCGGGAAAGCUAGAGAAGGGUUAGGAGGCGGUAUUGACAGCUGUGGAGGCAGCCCGCGUUCCCGGCAUGCCCCGGGGCGGCGGGGUUGGCUCUAACGAAUUUGAAUGAGGAGCCUCAGCGCUUUCGGCGCCAUUUUCGAGUGAUGCCUGAUCUCAUCAAUCUAGCGGGAGAGACGGGAUAACCUGUCCGAGAUUAUAGCGCCGCUAGGACUCCGCCGAAAAAUCACUUAAAAAAUUGCCAAAAAUUACUUCGUGCAAAGGGCAGCCCGCAGAGCUUGACCAGGGUUGGCGCAGACGGUUUUGACCUUUAGGAGAGAGCCAAUUCUGGAGAACAACCUAACUUCUCUGAUUGAACACUCACAUAAUGCAUUGGAACAUGAUAGGAGAUUAAGGUUUAAUAAAGAUAAAAUGAAGACCAUAAUAAAAUAGUCCCCUACUUAGCCCAGCAAUUCUUACCUUUCUUACCUACUGGAUGGAAGAUGUCUUUAGAAAGGCAUACCGCAAGGAAUGAACUGCUGUCUGUAAAUUUUGCUUUUACCAAGGUGGAUAUUACUAUCCCUUAUUCUUCGAAAAAGUUUUAUUCUCAGUGUUGUUUCUCAUUGAGUAUUAACAAAAAGAAAAAUUAAUGUUCCAAACUUUUCAGAUAGAUUUGGUCCUAGCAUGUAUUUUGAUAGCACUACUACGUCCCCUCCAAAAGGUGCGAACUGACUCUUCCAUCUGUACCUGGAUCAUGUGGAGAAAGGACUGAGAAUGGAAGCAGAAAACAGACAUUGUCCUAUGUAGAGCAGACUGCCUGACAACAGCUCACUCUAAUAAAGGGCAAUAAAUGCCACACGAGAUGAUCCUCUCAUCACAAAACUUUACAUCUGACUUAUAUGCCUGGUCUGAUAACUUCUAUCUUUUUAUGACUCCUAAAUUGUGGAGAGAGAGAGCGCAAGCAUGAGCCUGGGAGGGGCAGAGAGAAAG